RNA transcript from Leptonychotes weddellii (Weddell seal), 3921 nucleotides. It is a transcript of the gene named DnaJ heat shock protein family (Hsp40) member C17, with no coding region annotated. The record is from RefSeq and is a predicted model, not a curated record. Lineage: Eukaryota; Metazoa; Chordata; Mammalia; Carnivora; Phocidae.
AGUUGUAGUACGAAUCCAGUCAGGGUUGGAACCAUGGCGGUGACCAAGGAGCUCUUACAGAUGGACCUGUACGCGCUGCUAGGUAUCGAGGAGAAAGCAGCGGACAAAGAGGUGAAGAAGGCAUAUAGGCAGAAGGCCCUCUCCUGCCACCCAGACAAAAAUCCGGAUAAUCCCAGAGCAGCUGAGCUCUUCCACCAGCUUUCUCAGGCCUUGGAGGUACUGACCGAUGCUGCAGCCAGGGCUGCAUAUGACAAGGUCAGGAAAGCCAAGAAGCAGGCAGCAGAGAGGACCCAGAAACUUGAUGAGAGAAGGAAGAAAGUGAAGCUUGACCUGGAGGCCCGAGAGCGGCAGGCCCAGGCCCAUGGCAGUGAGGAGGAGGAGGAGAGCCGGAGCACCAGGACAUUGGAGCAGGAGAUUGAACGCCUUCGGGAAGAGGGUUCCCGGCAGCUGGAGGAACAGCAGAGGCUGAUCCAGGAGCAGAUACGCCAGGAACGGGAGCAGAGGUUGAGAGGAAAGGCAGAAAAUCCUGAAGGCAGAGGAACCCCCAAGCUAAAGCUAAAAUGGAAGUGCAAGAAAGAAGAUGAGUCAAAAGGCGGCUACUCCAGAGAUGUCCUCCUACAGCUUUUCCAGAAGGCUGAGCCAUGCUUACUGGGACCCCCUUGUCCUCACAGUAUGGAGAGGUGCUCCACCUGGUGCUUUCCAGUAAGAAGGCUGGCACUGCCGUGGUGGAGUUUGCAACCAUCAAGGCUGCGGAGCUGGCUGUCCAAAAUGAAGUGGGCCUGGUCGAUAACCCUCUGAAGAUUUCCUGGUUGGAGGGACAGCCCCAGGAUGUGGGGGGCCCCAGCCACCCAGGACUGUCACAGGGCUCAGUGCUGUCCGAGAGGGACUAUGAGAGCCUCGUCAUGAUGCGCAUGCGCCAGGCGGCUGAGCGUCAACAGCUGAUCACCCAGAUGCAGCGGGAGGAUGAGGUGGGGCAGCCCACGUAGCCUCCUGCCUCCAGCCCACAGCCCACUCACCCACGGCCCUCUUCUUGAACGUCACCAAUAAACUUUUUUCUUUUUUUUUUUUUUAACAAGAGUCUACCUCUAUUGUAUCUGUAGGUGUUGGGUGCUGGCCCGCCCAAGCGUGGCCCUGGUGGGCUCUGCCUGAGAGGGUUCCACCCAGGCCUGGCUCUUCCUCCCCAGGCGUGAGCAGACCCCCAGGGAGGUGCUCUGCACGGUGAGAGUCAGUGAGCCGGCAGAGCAGAGGGGCAACCACUCAUCACAGGCCUUUAUUGGCUUGGACUAGCUACACAGGACCCUCCCGCCCAGUCCUGGGGCCGUGCUCCUGGGGGGGCUCCCAGUUCCUGGCCAGGGACAGCCUGGCUCUUUCGGGCCCCUCAGCCUGCCCACAGGACAUGGCCUCCUCCAGGGCUCUCAGCCAGGCCGAGAAGCUGGAGGGGCAGCUGGGAGCACCAGGGCAAGGGCCCUGCCCUCUCCCCCUGGCUGAGGCACGUUUCAGAAAAGGCCAUUCACUGCCCAGUGGGGCCAGGCUAAGGAAAAAGACAAUUUGGGAAGAGAGUGAAUGGGGACUCAGGAUCAGGGCCCACGGCAACCGCUCAAGAAAGGGGUGCUCUGUGUGCUCCUCAGUGGGAGCGGUCACUCCUUGUGCAGGCACCACACCAGCGUCUGGCCCACCCCCGUCAUGCUCAGCACACGGAAGCCCCUGCGUUCCAGUUUGUCCAGGACGAUGCGAGGAGGAUCGCUGACAAAGUACUCAUAACUGUGAAGAGAAGGGGGGGGAAGGACAGCCUGAGGGGGCACAGAGCGCCGAUUCCUCGCACACAGCUAAUGUCUGCUGCUGAGGAGGCCUGGUCAGGGAUCCUGGUAGUGACUGGUAUUGGCUGCGUGCCUUCUAGGUGCCCGGCUAAGUGCACACUCCCUGCCCCCUCCCCUGCCAAGCACUUGACUUGUAUAGCUUGUUUCUUCCUCCCGACAACCUAAGGAAGGUUCCCAUUUUAUAAAUAAGAAAUCUUGGGAGGGGAUGGGUAGCUUUCCAAAUGUCCUAUGGAUUGUAGAGCCCAUGUUAGUCUGAUGACAGCCCCAUGUGCGCUGGGCCACUGCACUAUUCAGGAGGAAUGGCCUGUUCUCUCCAGGGUCCUCCCCCACGGCUCUGCCCCCUCUUGCUGCCCUGCCUGUCCCACAGUCCUGGAGCAACAGGUUGGCCCCUAAUAGCUCCUGGCUCUGGGUGCUGCCCCCCUAACACAGAAUGCUGUCCCUUCUUUCAGGGUUGAUUGAUUAUGAAGGGUUGUCAGGUAAAGGGCUCAAGCCCCAAGCUGGGCAUCUUGAGACAAGUGCCUCGUGGUAAAGGAAUGGGGUUGGCUUCAGCCCUCCAACCCUGACCCAAGGGGCUGGGGCCAGCUUGCCUCCUCUUUCCCCUCUUUGAACUGGGGCUCAUUCUUGGAGCACUUCUCACGAGUUCCACACCUGUGGAGCUGGUGUGAACGCCAGGGGACGUGGCCAAGUCCCCAGGCAGCAGCUGAGCUGGAAGGAGGACCCAGGCUGCCUGCUGCCUGUUUGUAGAGUUCAGCUUUCUUACUCAGCCAGCUCGAGAGAAACCUUUCCCUCUGUGCCUUUCUUUGUCUUGGUGGGGUCCAGCUCCGAGAUGAGAGGGCAGGGCAAGGAACAGUCCACUUAUGGAGUCCUCUACCAGCUGGACUCUGUCCUGGGGUUCCCUUGUGAAGGGAGGGCCAGUGAGAGCUUUCAGAGCAAGCCUGGGAGCUGCGGUGAAGCUGCAGACAGGACUGACCCCACAGAGGACAGAUCCCCAUGAUGCAGGCAGGGCCUCUGACGCUAGGCAGUGGCGUCAUCCCUGGGCUUGGCUGCGUAAAGGAAAUGGGCAGGUCUCGGGGCCGGCAGGGAGAAGAUCCUUAGGAAUGCCACUACUUACAAGUUGUUUCCCAAGGCGCUUCUCUUUGAGGCCCCCAGAUACUGCAUCAGCUCUGGAUCUGAGUGCUCAUCGCCCACCAUGGUAGGGCCCACCUCCUGCAAGAUAAGCCACAGUGGCUGCUUGGCUGGCUGCCAGGGAGAGGUGGAGGGUCUCUCUGUCCUUCCUCCCCUGCCUGCUGGCCCUGAGCCAGUUUCAGUUCAAGGCCGGACAGGGUGCAGAGGAACACUGGGGGCUGAGCACGAGCUGGGAAAGGGUGGAGCCCUCAGUGAGCAGGCCUGGCAAUGUGAGGCGUCCCUGGCCGCUCCAAGCUGAGCUGGACAUUGCCUGCCUCCUGGCAACUUCCUGCCAGGUAUCACUAUCCAUGUUUGUAUGUGUCAGAAUCACCUGGAAAACAGAAAUGAAAACAGGUCCACACAAAAACUUGUACAGGAGUGUUCAUAGCAGCAUUAUGCACAAGACCCCAAAAGGGGAAACAGCCUAAGUGUUUGUCAACUGACGCGUGAAUAAACUGUGAUGUAGCUAGACGAUGGGAUCUUAUUUGGCAAAACAGGAAUGAGUACCGACGCAUCCUACAAUACGGAUGAACCUUGAAAACGUAAAAGUGAAAGAAGCCAGGCAUGAAAGUAGAUGAGUGGUUAUCUAGGGCUGGGGGGCUCAGAGGCAGUGAGGAGUGACUGCUAAGAUACAGGGCAUGGGUACAGGGUGUCUUUUCAAGGGGAUGGAAAUGUUCUAAAAUUGAUUAGGUGAUAGCUGUACAACUCCUGAGCAUGCUUUAACAAAAUACCGAAUUGUACACUUUAAAUUGGUGCAUUCUGUGACAUGUAUGCUAUAUAUCAGUAAAGCUGUUCUAUUUAUUAAAAAAAAAAAAUCCCCUGAAGAGCACUGAAUUCCCAAGCCUCAGGCUUAGAGAGUGUUUUGGAAGGUCUGGGAAGGGGCCCAGGAGUGCACAUUUUAACUGCCCAAGUAACUGGUUCUCAAACCACUGCCCUAGGG